AUUGGUUGAACGGUGUUUUAAUGCGCAGGUAGCCUACGCUACGCGUUUCGUUGGGAGCGAAUCGCACCUGUUCCCGCCCGUUCUCCUGUUGAUCGCUGUAGGAAGUAUUGUAUUGUCACCUCUUUUGUGCGAGUAAUUGAACGGUGAUCUGCUUAGCAACUGAAAAAGAAAAACAUCAGAACAACUCAAACACACCGUUCCAGGACCCCUACCUUGGCAUUCACACGCAUACACGCGCAGUGUCAUGAUAAUGCCGCGCAAUAGGGUGGACCUUGAUCCCUUUUUCUGCUUUAAAUGAUGUUAAUACAGGCGGACUUCUCCUUUUUGUCUGGAAAAAACAUCUUACAGGCAUUACAAGAAAACCCACAACACUAAAUAUUACCACAGGAUGACCGAGAUUUAAAAGAAAAAUGGGGCAUAAAAUAGAGGGUUUCAGGUGGAGAAAGCCAAAGAAAAGGAGAAGGGAUGAGAGGUCACAGUCCUUUUGUCCACGAGAGGAAAGGAGAUGGAAUGGGUCAUAAACCUACACCCUGCUGUGGAUCUUGGAUGAGAGGAGUAAAGGUGGACACAAAGAAAAGCCUCAUUCACCGCUUCACCUCUGCCCCUGCAGAUGAUAGCAAGAAAGUGUUUUUACAUGAACGUUAUAAACGAGGUACCGUUGUCUUUUUGUGUGCAGACAAAGAGUGCAGUUUGCUGUGUGCAAUGAGUCUAAAACAGCCAGUAAGUGCAAGAAUCUGAGCACCAAAUGUUCCCAAACACCUCCGUACUCACUGAGGGACGCCCUAGGGUGGGGUGUCCCGUGGGGUUUCCAAGCAUGCACACGAGUUUGGCAGGGGUUCAGAGAGGGUGCAAAGGGAGGAGUCUUCCUUAACAGCAUAUUAAACAGGAGUUAAUUAUAUGCCAACCUUUGUGACAAAGAGAAUAAAAAGCCUCGACUUGA
Sinocyclocheilus anshuiensis is the source of this 940-nucleotide long non-coding RNA. RefSeq lists it as uncharacterized. The transcript has 3 exons. The record is from RefSeq and is a predicted model, not a curated record. NCBI's taxonomy places the organism in Eukaryota, Metazoa, Chordata, Actinopteri, Cypriniformes, Cyprinidae.